UUUCGGCUGGCACAGGCAGAAAUGGCCUGAUCCUGACCUACCGUCUGCCAGGGCAGAGAGGGCACUGUGGGGGACCAGAACUGCUGGGGAGAACUACAAUUCCCAGCAGGCAGUGCGAGCCGGGGACCCUUCCAGCUUCCCACCAAUAUAGCGGUGCAGAAGAAAGGGACAUCAGGGAGAAAAUCCCUUCCUCUUUUUUCUUGCGCUCCCGCUAACACCUUGGCAGUGGCGUGAAAAUCCUUCCCGCUGGCAUGAGCUGCUGAGAGCAUCUCCCCUGCCCCUUCAACCUUUGCUCUUUGUCUUUGUUUCGCUUCACCCUUCCUCCGGUAGCUCUCACUGCACUGGUCACAGACUUCCUUCAGGUCAGACCAGCUGCGGCUGCAGCACGACUCGCAGCUGAGUCGCAAACGCUGUUGUGCCACUGAGACUGCCCCGGAGGAGAGCAAUGCCAGACAGAGGUUGAUGGCCUGCUCAGUUUUUACAUCACUGACAGAGACUUCCUGUGAGUCAGCACCAGCAGAUGUGAAUGAAGUAGCUGAAGGUGAAGAAGAGCUCAAAGUGGGUAGAAAUAAGAAAAUCUGGCCAGUAACACUUGGAUACUUCCAGACCUACGUACUGCUGAGGGAGAUGGGAGACAGCCUGAAUCCUGCCUGAGAGACCUAGCUUGUUCCCCUGGAUGGAAGUGACCGGUGAGGUCAGAGAUAUGGUUAGUCCGGGAGCAGGCAGCUUGGCUAAACAUAGGGAGCAGGAACACCAGCACAACACGGGAAGGGGCAGCCAUCCUUUAAAAUCUGCCUAAAAUUGAUGCUUCUGGUACGUCUGUGCAACAAGUGCUUUCAGGAGUGAGGGAGGCAUGGGCAGGAAUGAGUUAAU
Long non-coding RNA from Neopsephotus bourkii (Bourke's parrot), 873 nucleotides. RefSeq lists it as uncharacterized. The record is from RefSeq and is a predicted model, not a curated record. The transcript has 3 exons. Lineage: Eukaryota; Metazoa; Chordata; Aves; Psittaciformes; Psittacidae.